This is a ribosomal RNA of 2403 nucleotides. It matches the Rfam family "Bacterial large subunit ribosomal RNA", at positions 1 to 2435 of the family's 2925-position model.
GUUAUAUGGUCAAGCGAAUAAGCGCACACGGUGGAUGCCUAGGCGGUCAGAGGCGAUGAAGGACGUGGUAGCCUGCGAAAGUGUCGGGGAGCUGGCAACAAGCUUUGAUCCGGCAAUAUCCGAAUGGGGAAACCCACUGCUUCGGCAGUAUCCUGCAGUGAAUUCAUAGCUGCUGGAAGCGAACCCGGUGAACUGAAAUAUCUAAGUAACCGGAGGAAAAGAAAUCAACCGAGAUUCCCUAAGUAGUGACGAGCGAACGGGGAGCAGCCCUUAAGCUGGAAUGGCUUUAGAAAAACAAUCUGGAAAGAUUGGCCAUAGAAGGUGAUAGCCCUGUAUUUAAAAGGGCCACUCCAGUGAAGACGAGUAGGGCGGGGCACGUGAAACCCUGUCUGAAUAUGGGGGGACCAUCCUCCAAGGCUAAAUACUCCUGACCGACCGAUAGUGAACCAGUACCGUGAGGGAAAGGUGAAAAAGAACCCGGAGAGGGGAGUGAAAUAGAUCCUGAAACCGUGUGCGUACAAGCAGUAGGAGCUCGCAAGAGUGACUGCGUACUUUUGUAUAAUGGGUCAGCGACUUACUGUUCGUGGCAAGCUUAACCGUAUAGGGGAGGCGAAGGGAAACCGAGUCUGAUAAGGGCGCAUAGUCGCGGGCAGUAGACCCGAAACCGGGUGAUCUAGUCAUGGCCAGGGUGAAGGUGCCGUAACAGGUACUGGAGGCCCGAACCCACGUCUGUUGCAAAAGACGGGGAUGAGCUGUGAUUAGGAGUGAAAAGCUAAUCGAACCCGGAGAUAGCUGGUUCUCCUCGAAAGCUAUUUAGGUAGCGCCUCAUAUGUAUCCUCUCGGGGGUAGAGCACUGUUAUGGCGUAGGGGGUCAUCGCGACUUACCAAACCAUUGCAAACUCCGAAUACCGAGACGGACUGUAUGGGAGACACACGGCGGGUGCUAACGUCCGUCGUGAAAAGGGAAACAACCCAGACCCACAGCUAAGGUCCCAAAUUCACUGCUAAGUGGAAAACGAUGUGGAAAGGCAUAGACAGCCAGGAGGUUGGCUUAGAAGCAGCCACCCUUUAAAGAAAGCGUAAUAGCUCACUGGUCGAGUCGGUCUGCGCGGAAGAUUUAACGGGGCUAAGCAGUGAACCGAAGCUUGGGGUGCAUAAAACUUGUUUUAUGCGCGGUAGAGGAGCGUUCCGUAAGCCUGCGAAGGUGGAUUGAGAAGUCUGCUGGAGGUAUCGGAAGUGCGAAUGCUGACAUGAGUAACGAUAAUGCGGGUGAAAAGCCCGCACGCCGAAAGCCCAAGGUUUCCUUGCGCAACGUUAAUCGACGCAGGGUUAGUCGGUCCCUAAGGCGAGGGCGAAAGCCGUAGUCGAUGGGAAGCAGGUUAAUAUUCCUGCACCUCGCGUGAGUGCGAUGGAGGGACGGAGAAGGUUAGGUGUACCGGGCGUUGGUUGUCCCGGGGAAAGGCGGUAGGUUUGGAUCUUUGGCAAAUCCGGGAUCCUUUAAGACCGAGCACCGAGACGAGCCUUUAUGGCGAAGUCACUGAUACCACGCUUCCAGGAAAAGCUCCUAAGCUUCAGCUCACGAAGACCGUACCGUAAACCGACACAGGUGGGUAGGAUGAGAAUUCUCAGGCGCUUGAGAGAACUCGGGUGAAGGAACUAGGCAACAUGGCACCGUAACUUCGGGAGAAGGUGCACCCUUUUUGGUGGCUCGUGCGAGCUAUAGCUGAAGAGGGUCGCAGAAACCAGGCCGCUGCGACUGUUUAUCAAAAACACAGCACUCUGCAAACACGAAAGUGGACGUAUAGGGUGUGACGCCUGCCCGGUGCUGAAGGUUAAUUGAUGGGGUCAGCCGCAAGGCGAAGCUCUUGAUCGAAGCCCCAGUAAACGGCGGCCGUAACUAUAACGGUCCUAAGGUAGCGAAAUUCCUUGUCGGGUAAGUUCCGACCUGCACGAAUGGCGUAACGACAGCGGCGCUGUCUCCACCCGAGACUCAGUGAAAUUGAAAUCGCUGUGAAGAUGCAGCGUUCCCGUGGCAAGACGGAAAGACCCCGUGAACCUUUACUAUAGCUUUACACUGAACGUUGAGUUUCGUCUGUGUAGGAUAGGUGGGAGGCUAUGAAAACUGUGGCGCUAGCUGCAGUGGAGCCAUCCUUGAAAUACCACCCUGUCGUGCUUGACGUUCUUAACCUAGGUCCGUUAUCCGGAUCAGGGACCGUGUAUGGUGGGGUAGUUUGACUGGGGCGGUUCUCCUCCUAAAGAGUAACGGAGGGGAGCACGAAGGUACGCUCAGCGCGGUCGGACAUCGCGCACUUGUGUGCAAAGGCAUAAGCCGUGCUUUGACUGCAAGAUCGACGGAUCAAGCAGGUACGAAAGUAGGUCUUAGUGAUCCGGUGGUUCUGUAUG